RNAcentral lists this transfer RNA (73 nucleotides) under Mus musculus (house mouse). Its description in RNAcentral is "tRNA-Ser". Lineage: Eukaryota; Metazoa; Chordata; Mammalia; Rodentia; Muridae. The record is from RNAcentral.
GGAGAGAUAGCUCAGUGGUUAAGAGCACUGACUGCUCUUCCAGAGGUCCUGAGUGCAAAUCCCAGCAACUACA